RNAcentral lists this long non-coding RNA (826 nucleotides) under Ananas comosus (pineapple). RNAcentral's name for it is "long non-coding RNA (ACOM_LNC000337)". Lineage: Eukaryota; Viridiplantae; Streptophyta; Magnoliopsida; Poales; Bromeliaceae. The record is from RNAcentral.
GGAAUCCGUUUUGCAUGCGAAUACUGAGCAAGGAAAGAAAACGCGUUUUAUUCCGAUUUUUUGGAAAAAGUUCGUAAACAGAGUGUUUUAUUCGUUUUGACGAUUUUUUGUGAAUAAUUCGCGUAAUAUAUGCGAAUUAACUAAAUAAGAUUAAAACUUAUUCUGAAACAUUUUUUACUAGAUUAAAUUCUUUAGAUAGCGUAGCGUCAGCCCGAGUUUUAAAUUUUCUCUCUUUUAGGGGACUCUGAGUUUGAUUCCUAUAUUAUGCGUCAUCUAAUAUUCACCAUACAUAUUUGUAGGGACUGUUAAGAUUAAUUUUGAACUGUUUUUCACUAAUUGUCAAUAUUAAUUUGAACCGUUUUCUAAUAUGCACCAUAUACGUGAGUAUAGAGUUUUUUUUUUUUUAAAGAGAAUUGUAGCAAACUAUUCGCUUCGUUUAUUUUUUAGAAAUAAAAUCAGUUGGAAAUAUAAAGCAACCAAACUUCGAACUCGGAAUCUCGGAUGCCAAACAUCAAACCCUAAACGAAAACAAAUAGGAUAUUUUUUUAUCCAACUUUCUUAUUAUAUGUAAAGCAAUCUCCCCAUCGUCCCAAACGGAGCGUCUAGUUCGAUAUCAACACCUCCAAUCUUGAAUAUAGGAAUUAACCUAUUUGCUCUUUUUGAUUGUUCAUUCAAUUUCUAUUAUUCAUAUUAUUCACUAGUUCGAUAGUUAAACUGUCAGUUCGAAUGAUUUAAAGCAGAUUUUUGAUUUAUUCGCUUCAAGAAAUUGAACCGAACGACUUUAUAAAAUGGGUCACAAUUGGACUGAUUUAAGCCGGCUAAAUGC